This 492-nucleotide ribosomal RNA is filed under the name uncultured bacterium. RNAcentral describes it as "partial 16S ribosomal RNA". It matches the Rfam family "Bacterial small subunit ribosomal RNA", at positions 29 to 507 of the family's 1533-position model. The record is from RNAcentral.
AGUGAACGCUGGCGGUAGGCCUAACACAUGCAAGUCGAACGGCAGCACAGUAAGAGCUUGCUCUUACGGGUGGCGAGUGGCGGACGGGUGAGGAAUACAUCGGAAUCUACUUUUUCGUGGGGGAUAACGUAGGGAAACUUACGCUAAUACCGCAUACGACCUGCGGGUGAAAGCAGGGGAUCUUCGGACCUUGCGCGAUUGAAUGAGCCGAUGUCGGAUUAGCUAGUUGGCGGGGUAAAGGCCCACCAAGGCGACGAUCCGUAGCUGGUCUGAGAGGAUGAUCAGCCACACUGGAACUGAGACACGGUCCAGACUCCUACGGGAGGCAGCAGCGGGGAAUAUUGGACAAUGGGCGCAAGCCUGAUCCAGCCAUACCGCGUGGGUGAAGAAGGCCUUCGGGUUGUAAAGCCCUUUUGUUGGGAAAGAAAAGCAGCAGGUUAAUACCCCGCUGUUCUGACGGUACCCAAAGAAUAAGCACCGGCUAACUUCGUG